Molecule: long non-coding RNA, 681 nt
Filed under: Capsella grandiflora
Lineage: Eukaryota; Viridiplantae; Streptophyta; Magnoliopsida; Brassicales; Brassicaceae
Description: long non-coding RNA (CGRA_LNC000788)
Source: RNAcentral
GUGUACCUGGACGACGCGGAUCGAACGGAGGAGGUGAUCCAAGAUCCGUUUGCCUCUCCGCCACCGUAGAGAAACUUUGAGGAAGAGGAAGAAACCGAGCUGUUGGUGUCGAGAAAGUUUCAAGCUCCGACGUGAGAUUGAAAGGCGGUAGGGAGUAGAUCUAGGAACCGUCAACAGUGGCUUAGCUCCACCCGACCGGAGUCAACCUCCCCCAUCAAGCGGCGGCCUAAUGAAGCCUCCAGGAUCUCCGGUUCCAGACCUAACCGUCUUCUCUCUCAUGCUUCGCCGUGAAGACUUCCUCUUCCAUUCUGCGGCGCUACACCACCGGUGGAGUCAUCGACGGUGUCUUGCAGAAGCUAUCCCUCUUCGCUUCUCCCUUGAUUUUGAUUCGUUUGUGAAGCUUAGAAGAUGCAGCAGAUUGCGUAGUUGAAGAACCAUGAGCCAUAGAGUCCUCAUCGUCGCCGGAAUCGACGGAGGACCCAUCGGAAAAGCAAGAAAUUGUGCUCAGAAGAAGAAAGAGAAGGGAGAAAGAAAUCGCCGCGAGUGGAUCUCACGCGCACGAUUUCUUUCUUUUACGUUUUCCAAAUAAUUAUUCUUAGAACCAAGAAGUAUUUGCAUGGGUGAAGUACAUAAAACCAAUAAUGGACGACAAAUAAAUUCAAGUUCAGUUCGAGAACUUCC